UGAAUGACAAAGAAAACGUGGCACAGCCAUGGAAUGAAAUAUUAAUCAUCUUUGAAAAUGAAGCACUACUUCAUGCUACAAUGAGGAUGAACCUUGAAAUAUAUCAAGUAAAAGGAACUAGACACAAAAAGUGACAUAUUAUAUAUUUGCAUUUAUUUUUUGAUUCUCUUUAAAUGUCUACAUUAAGCAAAUAAUUAGAGGCAGAAAAUAGAUUUAUGGUUUCCAGGGGUUUUGAUGGGCAUGGAUAGAAAAUGACUGCUAAUGUUUUCGGAGUUUCUUUGAGGGGAUGAUAAAAAUGUAAAAUCAGAUAGUGGUGCUUGCUGCACAACCCUAUGAAUAUACCAAAAAUCAUUGAAUUGUAUACUUUAAAAGGGUAAAUUUUAUGGCCUAUAAUUUGUAUCAGUCAGUGCUUACUAUAGAAACAGAUUUAAUCCAAGAUAUACAAAUAUAUAAAGAUUUACAAGAUUGGUUUACAAUGGCUGCCCACAAAAUCAAGUAUUACAAAAUCAGGUGUGGAAGAGUGGAAAAAGGUCUGUCUGCAUGAUCCAGAGGAUCCAGUCGAAGGCUCACUGUAGUGUCCUGGGCAAGUCCAUAUCAGGAGGCUGAAGGGUCUGCACUGAAAGGCUGAAGAUGAUAUCCAAGGUGAAGGUGAAGACUAGAGCUCCUUGGAAGAAACAGAAGCAAGGCUUCCGUCUUCAUUUCCCCUUUCUACCAUUCAGGUGACAGGCCAGCCUAAGUGCUGCUAAAUGAUAUGAUUAAAGUCAUAUAGGAAAAUGACAAAUCAUUCAUCAAGAACCACAACCCGAAGUUACAGGGGUGAUAAAAUGGAGCUGAAAGCCAAAUAAUCCAGUCCCGGUCAUGCAGUUAACUACUCAAAUCCAGUCAUCUCGAGUGUGGUGUGUUCACACACCCUGCUUUCUCUUCUCCGCUGCUCUAUCUACCCGACUUGGUCAGCAGUCUCAUGCAUUACUAACUCUGUCUGGAGACAGCAGCCCAGGUGAAGUAUGCCUUCUAGAAAAGUGAGAAAUUACAGUGCCAAAGACACAGCCCUCUGAGGUGACUUAGAAUCAACUGGGCCGAGAUUCUGCACUUCUAGCAAGCUGCCUUGUGAUCCUAUCAUAUUGCUGCUGGUCCAUGGAUCCAAGCAGAGGAAGCUUAAGAAGACUGUUGUGGACAACAGUAGAUAAGAACUCAUCUUACUUUUCAAAUAAGGCCCUUUUUCUCACAGGUUCUGCGGAAGAAGAAACAAUCAGAGAGAUAACUCUGUGAGUUUUCACAAUAAAUGCAAUCAGCAGCACAAUAAAUUAUACAUUUUCAUCAUCCCUAGUAUACCUCCAUGUCCUUUGUGGCCAACCAGUGAGACCCCUUGAUCUGUUUUCUGCAGAAUGUCAUAUAAAAGAAAUCACAGCAUUUCAAUGCAGUCUUUUGAUAAUGGUUUCUUUCAUUAACUACAGCAUUAAAGCUUUAUUCUUGGUUUAUGUAUUAUUAUCACUUCCUUUUUUCACUGAGUUGUAUUUGCUUAUAUUGAUAUAUCACAUCUUGCUUAUCUAUUCCAUAAUUGAGAGAUUUUUUUUAUUUUGGUUAAUCUAAAAAUGGUAAAAAUGCAUGUAUAAAUUUUUGUGUGAAUGUAGGCUGUAUUUCACUUGACUAACAAGUGAAAUAAAAAUAACAAACAAUGAGAUUGCUGGGUUGUACGUCAAAUGUAUGUUUAUAAGAAACUAUCAAAGUGUUUUCCAUAGUUCUUUUCUUACAGUCUCACCAGAGUUCCAGGUUUAUUUUUGUAGUUUACUCACUCUCUCAAUGUCAUAAAUUAAUUUGCC
RNAcentral lists this long non-coding RNA (1820 nucleotides) under Heterocephalus glaber (naked mole-rat). RNAcentral's name for it is "lncRNA (ENSHGLG00000043247.1)". Lineage: Eukaryota; Metazoa; Chordata; Mammalia; Rodentia; Bathyergidae. The record is from RNAcentral.